UAGGGAAUAUUGGACAAUGGGGGCAACCCUGAUCCAGCCAUGCCGCGUGAGUGAAGAAGGCCCUCGGGUUGUAAAGCUCUUUUGUCCGGAAAGAAAAGCUUCGGGUUAAUACCCCGGGGUUCUGACGGUACCUCUUGAAUAGCACCGGCUAACUCCGUGCCAGCAGCCGCGGUAAUACGGAGGGUGCAAGCGUUAUCCGGAAUCACUGGGCGUAAAGGGCGCGUAGGCGGUCUGUUAAGUCCGAUGUUAAAUCCCGGGGCUCAACCCCGGAUAAGCGUUGGCUACUGGCAGGCUAGACGGUUGGAGAGGCGAGUGGAAUUACCAGUGUAGCGGUGGAAUGCGUAGAUACUGGUAGGAACACCCAUUGCGAAGGCAGCUCGCUGGACAACACGUGACGCUGAGGCGCGAAAGUGUGGGGAGCAAACC
This 426-nucleotide ribosomal RNA is filed under the name uncultured bacterium. RNAcentral's name for it is "bacterial SSU rRNA". It matches the Rfam family "Bacterial small subunit ribosomal RNA", at positions 355 to 774 of the family's 1533-position model. The record is from RNAcentral.